This 482-nucleotide ribosomal RNA is filed under the name uncultured bacterium. RNAcentral's name for it is "partial 16S ribosomal RNA". It matches the Rfam family "Bacterial small subunit ribosomal RNA", at positions 30 to 507 of the family's 1533-position model. The record is from RNAcentral.
AUUGAACGCUGGCGGCAUGCCUUACACAUGCAAGUCGAACGGUAACAGGUCUUCGGAUGCUGACGAGUGGCGAACGGGUGAGUAAUACAUCGGAACGUGCCCAGACGUGGGGGAUAACGAAGCGAAAGCAUUGCUAAUACCGCAUACGAUCUGAGGAUGAAAGCCAGGGACCGCAAGGCCUUGCGCGUUUGGAGCGGCCGAUGGCAGAUUAGGUAGUUGGUGGGAUAAAAGCUUACCAAGCCGACGAUCUGUAGCUGGUCUGAGAGGACGACCAGCCACACUGGGACUGAGACACGGCCCAGACUCCUACGGGAGGCAGCAGUGGGGAAUUUUGGACAAUGGGCGAAAGCCUGAUCCAGCAAUGCCGCGUGCAGGAUGAAGGCCUUCGGGUUGUAAACUGCUUUUGUACGGAACGAAAAGGCUCUGGCUAAUACCUGGGGCACAUGACGGUACCGUAAGAAUAAGCACCGGCUAACUACGUG